AAAGACUCUCGGCAACGGAUAUCUCGGCUCUUGCAUCGAUGAAGAACGUAGCGAAAUGCGAUACUUGGUGUGAAUUGCAGAAUCCCGUGAACCAUCGAGUCGUUGAACGCAAGUUGCGCCCGACGCCAUCAGGUCGAGGGCACGCCUGCCUGGGUGUCGCACA
RNAcentral lists this ribosomal RNA (163 nucleotides) under Thermopsis barbata. RNAcentral describes it as "5.8S ribosomal RNA". It matches the Rfam family "5.8S ribosomal RNA". Rfam says of the family: 5.8S ribosomal RNA (5.8S rRNA) is a component of the large subunit of the eukaryotic ribosome. It is transcribed by RNA polymerase I as part of the 45S precursor that also contains 18S and 28S rRNA. Lineage: Eukaryota; Viridiplantae; Streptophyta; Magnoliopsida; Fabales; Fabaceae. The record is from RNAcentral.